Molecule: ribosomal RNA, 429 nt
Filed under: bacterium
Lineage: Bacteria
Description: partial 16S ribosomal RNA
Rfam family: Bacterial small subunit ribosomal RNA
Source: RNAcentral
UGGGGAAUUUUGGACAAUGGGGGCAACCCUGAUCCAGCAAUGCCGCGUGUGUGAAGAAGGCCUUCGGGUUGUAAAGCACUUUUGUCCGGGAAGAAAUCGCACCUGAUAAUACCGGGUGUGGAUGACGGUACCGGAAGAAUAAGGACCGGCUAACUACGUGCCAGCAGCCGCGGUAAUACGUAGGGUCCAAGCGUUAAUCGGAAUUACUGGGCGUAAAGCGUGCGCAGGCGGUUGUGCAAGACCGAUGUGAAAUCCCCGGGCUUAACCUGGGAAUUGCAUUGGUGACUGCACGGCUAGAGUGUGUCAGAGGGGGGUAGAAUACCACGUGUAGCAGUGAAAUGCGUAGAGAUGUGGAGGAAUACCGAUGGCGAAGGCAGCACCCUGGGAUAACACUGACGCUCAUGAACGAAAGCGUGGGGAGCAAACAGG